UCAGAACGAACGCUGGCGGCAGGCUUAACACAUGCAAGUCGAACGCGUGUAGCAAUACACGAGUGGCGCACGGGUGAGUAACACGUGGAUUAUCUGCCUCUUGGUUCGGAAUAACCCCGGGAAACUGGGGCUAAUACCGAAUGGUUCCUACGGGAUAAAGAUUUAUCGCCAAGAGAUGAGUCCGCGUCCGAUUAGCUAGUUGGUGGGGUAAUGGCCUACCAAGGCGACGAUCGGUAGCUGGUCUGAGAGGACGAUCAGCCACACUGGGACUGAGACACGGCCCAGACUCCUACGGGAGGCAGCAGUGGGGAAUAUUGGACAAUGGGGGCAACCCUGAUCCAGCCAUGCCGCGUGAGUGAUGAAGGCCUUCGGGUUGUAAAGCUCUUUUGGCGGGGACGAUGAUGACGGUACCCGCAGAAUAAGCCCCGGCUAACUUCGUGCCAGCAGCCGCGGUAAGACGAAGGGGGCUAGCGUUGUUCGGAAUUACUGGGCGUAAAGCGCGUGUAGGCGGUUGUUCAAGUCGGGUGUGAAAGCCUUGAGCUCAACUCAAGAAAUGCACUCGAUACUGGAUGACUUGAGGACCGGAGAGGAUAGUGGAAUUCCCAGUGUAGUGGUGAAAUACGUAGAGAUUGGGAAGAACACCAGUGGCGAAGGCGGCUAUCUGGACGGUUCUGAC
Molecule: ribosomal RNA, 676 nt
Filed under: Alphaproteobacteria bacterium L2014
Lineage: Bacteria; Pseudomonadati; Pseudomonadota; Alphaproteobacteria
Description: bacterial SSU rRNA
Rfam family: Bacterial small subunit ribosomal RNA
Source: RNAcentral